This 342-nucleotide long non-coding RNA is filed under the name Prunus persica (peach). Its description in RNAcentral is "long non-coding RNA (PPER_LNC001486)". The record is from RNAcentral. Lineage: Eukaryota; Viridiplantae; Streptophyta; Magnoliopsida; Rosales; Rosaceae.
UCCGGUGUGCGAUGAUGUAGUCUGCGCGCGUAGAACUUGGUUUUGAGUAUGUGAGCUACACGUGGCGUUGGUAGUUCCGGCGUGUGAGCUAUGGAGUUUCGUCCCCCGGUUGGACCGCUCAUCCCUAGCCGCAAGAUAUCACCUGGAAAUCCUACGGGCUAGCCAAACAAUCCCCCGGUUAGAUUGUUUCCCCAGUACAUAAGUAAUGAGAGAAGUAUAUGAUAUAUCUAUAUUUAUAUAUUUAUAUAUAUAUGCAUAGGUGUGAGUACAAAUCCAUUAAAGUAUAUGUAGUGGGCUGGCAAAAGCAGUAUAAGUUUGGGAAUGGAGUUUGUGGUUUGGGAU